RNAcentral lists this ribosomal RNA (253 nucleotides) under uncultured bacterium. RNAcentral describes it as "partial 16S ribosomal RNA". It matches the Rfam family "Bacterial small subunit ribosomal RNA", at positions 524 to 776 of the family's 1533-position model. The record is from RNAcentral.
UACGUAGGGUGCGAGCGUUAAUCGGAAUUACUGGGCGUAAAGCGUGCGCAGGCGGUUCGUUGUGUCUGCUGUGAAAGCCCCGGGCUUAACCUGGGAAUGGCAUUGGAAACUGGCGAGCUGGAGUGUGGCAGAGGGGGGUGGAAUUCCGCGUGUAGCAGUGAAAUGCGUAGAGAUGCGGAGGAACACCGAUGGCGAAGGCAGCCCCCUGGGCCAACACUGACGCUCAGGCACGAAAGCGUGGGGAGCAAACAGG